RNAcentral lists this ribosomal RNA (465 nucleotides) under Vreelandella stevensii. RNAcentral describes it as "partial 16S ribosomal RNA". It matches the Rfam family "Bacterial small subunit ribosomal RNA", at positions 338 to 795 of the family's 1533-position model. The record is from RNAcentral. Lineage: Bacteria; Pseudomonadati; Pseudomonadota; Gammaproteobacteria; Oceanospirillales; Halomonadaceae.
CCUACGGGCGGCAGCAGGGGGGAAUAUUGGACAAUGGGGGCAACCCUGAUCCAGCCAUGCCGCGUGUGUGAAGAAGGCCCUCGGGUUGUAAAGCACUUUCAGUGAGGAAGAACGCCUGGUGGUUAAUACCCAUCAGGAAAGACAUCACUCACAGAAGAAGCACCGGCUAACUCCGUGCCAGCAGCCGCGGUAAUACGGAGGGUGCGAGCGUUAAUCGGAAUUACUGGGCGUAAAGCGCGCGUAGGUGGCUUGAUAAGCCGGUUGUGAAAGCCCCGGGCUCAACCUGGGAACGGCAUCCGGAACUGUCAAGCUAGAGUGCAGGAGAGGAAGGUAGAAUUCCCGGUGUAGCGGUGAAAUGCGUAGAGAUCGGGAGGAAUACCAGUGGCGAAGGCGGCCUUCUGGACUGACACUGACACUGAGGUGCGAAAGCGUGGGUAGCAAACAGGAUUAGAUACCCUAGUAGUC